Long non-coding RNA from Otolemur garnettii (small-eared galago), 2541 nucleotides. RefSeq lists it as uncharacterized. Lineage: Eukaryota; Metazoa; Chordata; Mammalia; Primates; Galagidae. The transcript has 3 exons. The record is from RefSeq and is a predicted model, not a curated record.
AAAAAAAAAGCCUGCUUUUUCUAAGCCUAAGUUUUUUGUAUUGUGUAUCUGUGGCACAUUUGACUUAAAUUAGCGGCUUUUUUCUCUAGGUUGACAUGAAAUGAAAAUCCUAAGAGUGAAGACCCUGGAUUGAGCACAAUCCUUGGUGUAAAUAAUGAUCUAUUAUUUUUCUUGAAUGAAUGAAUGUUUUCUUACAGAAGAAACUGCACCUGUCUUUCCCACUGUCCCAUUCCUCAUCCCCUGACGACAUUCAUGUAGGAUUUGUGAAAUUAAUUUCACAUGGCUCUUUGGAUUCCCCUCCUUGGAACCAGGCCUGAAAAUUGGGUAGGCUGUCCCCAAGUUGGGGUGAAAGGAAGAUGAUGCCCUUGGAACUAAGCAAAGUGGCAUAAUUAGUUGGUUAAUUCAAGGUCAAAUCUCACAUUGGUCCCAAUUGCUUAUGACCAGGCACAGAGGUUGCAAACUCAAACACUUACAUGGGCCAGGUAGAGAAUGAGUGACACGGGCCAGGUGUGAUAAUAGGAGGAGGAGAGGAGUGUGGUAGGUAAUCUGGACGUUUAUGCCCCGUCUACAGAGGCAGCCCCUUGUUGAGUAAUAGCUGGUUGAUGCCAAGAGAAAUUGGAAAACUUAAUUUUUAGGUAGAAAUUUCCUAUUUGAAAAACUCCUGGGAAGGCCAAAUAAAGUUCAUAGGCAGAAAAGUUGAGACCCAACAGUCAUCUUGUUACUUUUCCCGCCACACAUCUUGGGUGUGCUCCCCCCUUUGGGGGGCGUGCAGCUGUGAGUUUCUGAAAUUCUCCCACGAUUCUGGGCCAUGGGGAAGCCAAGUGGAGGCUGUUAUUGUCAUCCACAGCUUCUCACCCCUGCACUAAGGAGCAGGGCCGGCUCACUUCCUCUGGGGCCACCUCCUUUCCCAAACACAAAGUCCCCUAAUCAUGUCCUCACUCAGAACCUAAAGAAGAUGGCUAGCCACAGAAAUCACUCACUUAGACAGCCAAGUGUGGGUCAGAUGCCCGAAGGCUUCUGGGGAAACUGACAUCUCUCAAGAAGUACAAUUACUGUUGAGGCUUGAAAAUUGGGUCUGUAAAUACGAGAGGCAAAGCAAAGCAGGCUAUUCAUUCGUCUGCUGUUUUUCACGAAACAAAGUGAGUCAACAGGUAUUUAAACACUCAGGCCACUGUGGCGUGACUCUCUCAGAAGAUCAUUUUCUGUGGUUUCAGUGUCUUCUGCUAACUGUCACCUUUUGUCCUCUCUGGUUCUCUGGCCAGAGACCCCAGAUGACUUUCAUACAGUCAACUGGGCCCCUCUGCAGGGUCACGAGGUGGACAAACCUUGUCAGCCCGGCCAAGGUCUGAGUGUUUACUCAGGAUCUAAUAGAGGCAGGAAACAGUGACAAUCCUUGAAACCAAAUCCACAGACCCAAACCAAAUCCUCCAAGUUCCCUAUAACCCAGCUGCCCCCCCACACCUGACACCAUCCGGCUCACUGUGACCCAGUUUUAUCGAGCAUCCCAGGUGCAGAGAGCACUGAUUUCCCCCAUGUGCUCAGGUUGCUUACAGUGAUGUGCAGGAAGGAGACGAUCACACAACCACAGCAAGAGGCACAAGGGACAGAACACUGGGCACAGAACAUGGCACUCAACGCGUACGUGUGGGAUGAGUGAAUGCAUGAAUAGAACGCUGUGUCCUUCUGCUUGUGGAGCAACUCUGCGUAGAAGGAUGCAGGCACAGGGAGAGGCAGGAGCCUGGAGUAGAUGGUUGGGGCCAGAGAACUGAAAAACCACCCAGACCAUGGUUUCUGCAGGGGGCAGGUACUGAUAAUCACCCCUCAGAAAACUACCUGGAUAAUCAACAUGAUCAGUGUAUAUAACUGAUCACGGAAAUAUCAACAUCCUGGCUGGGGGGCGGGGGAGGGGGUUGUAUAGUCUGGAAUUCCAGGGCACAUGAAAUGGGGACACUAUUUGGAUAUUGAACUAUUUGACAUCUCCUUUCAUGAUGUCCUGUGGCUUCCCAUCAAUUGACUUAGUGAGUUUUACUGCUUCAAGGAAAGGCAGAUGCAAGAAUAAAGGUAGAAUAAAAACACAUUGUAAUAAAUUGUAUGGUUCCGUUUUUAUGAAAUUCUAGAACGGGGAAACUAACAUAUGGUGGAAACAACUCAGGACAGCAGGUGCUCUGGGAGUAUGGGGGUGGCAACCGACUUGGAGGAGACAUAGAAGAAAUUUCUGGGGUGACAACAUGGUACACAGGUGUCAGCAUUUGUCAAACUGUGAAUAUAUGGUUUGGAUUUUUCUAUUUCAUCGUACAUGAAUUUUAGCUUCCCCAAAUAAAAUCUAGUUAAUGGUAAGCAUCCUGAGGCAUUUGGGAUGUCCAUGAUGCCUGCAAUCGACUUUAUGCUUCAUAAUUACGAGGGGACAGACAGACAUGGGAAAGCAAGCAGAGUACAGCGGGAUCUCUAGAGUGGCCUCUCACCCUCUCUGGCUCAGGGAUGGGUAAUCCCUUUGCUGACCAGCCACUGGAUGGAGUGGACUGGGUGAGUCAGGGCAUACCA